GAAAUAUGUUGUAUCAAAUAAAAGCUGCUAACUUUUUAUUUUAAUAGUUAAAUUCUAUUUAUAUUUCU
Molecule: transfer RNA, 68 nt
Filed under: Chrysotimus molliculus
Lineage: Eukaryota; Metazoa; Arthropoda; Insecta; Diptera; Dolichopodidae
Description: tRNA-Ser
Source: RNAcentral